RNAcentral lists this transfer RNA (74 nucleotides) under subsurface metagenome. Its description in RNAcentral is "tRNA-Ile". It matches the Rfam family "tRNA". From Rfam's summary of the family: Transfer RNA (tRNA) molecules are approximately 80 nucleotides in length. Their secondary structure includes four short double-helical elements and three loops (D, anti-codon, and T loops). The record is from RNAcentral.
GGGCUCGUAGCUCAGUGGUUAGAGCAUUCGGCUGAUAACCGAAAGGUCAUAGGUUCAAAUCCUAUCGAGCCCAC